RNAcentral lists this ribosomal RNA (305 nucleotides) under uncultured bacterium. RNAcentral describes it as "bacterial SSU rRNA". It matches the Rfam family "Bacterial small subunit ribosomal RNA", at positions 335 to 633 of the family's 1533-position model. The record is from RNAcentral.
GUCCUACGGGGGGCAGCAGUAGGGAAUCUUCCACAAUGGGCGAAAGCCUGAUGGAGCAACGCCGCGUGGGUGAAGAAGGUCUUCGGAUCGUAAAACCCUGUUGUUAGAGAAGAAAGUGCGUGAGAGUAACUGUUCACGUUUCGACGGUAUCUAACCAGAAAGCCACGGCUAACUACGUGCCAGCAGCCGCGGUAAUACGUAGGUGGCAAGCGUUAUCCGGAUUUAUUGGGCGUAAAGGGAACGCAGGCGGUCUUUUAAGGCUGAGGUGUAAGCCUUCGGCUUAACCGGAGUAGUGCAUUGGAAAG